CUACGGGCCGCUGCAGGCGCGAAACCUUUACAAUGUGUUCACGCACGAUAAGGAGAUCUGGAGUGCCGCAGCAUUGCUGUGGCUUUUGUCGAGUUAAAACAGCUCGGCGAAUAAGGGGUGGGUAAGACAAGUGCCAGCCGCCGCGGUAAUACUUGCGCCCCGAGUGGUACCCACGAUUAUUGGGUCUAAAGCGUCCGUAGCCGGUUUGGUAAGUCCCUAGUGAAAUUCACUAGUAAACUAGUGAGCCUGCUGGGGAUACUGCCAGGCUUGGGACUGGGAGAGGGUAGAGGUACUGCCAGGGAAGGGGUAAAAUCCUAUAAUCCUGGCGGGACCACCUGUGGCGAAGGCGUCUACCUAGAACAGGUCCGACGGUGAGGGACGAAAGCUAAGGGAGCGAUCGGGAUUAGAUACCCUGGUAGUC
Molecule: ribosomal RNA, 421 nt
Filed under: uncultured archaeon
Lineage: Archaea
Description: partial 16S ribosomal RNA
Rfam family: Archaeal small subunit ribosomal RNA
Source: RNAcentral